GCCGGGCGGGGGGCCGGCCUGCGGCCGACGUGGGUGUUAAGCGGCCGCCCGGGCCGCGGAGGCAGCGCCGAGAGCCCGCGCUUGACCCCGAGCGGGACGCGGCCGGCUGGCGUGGUGGGAUAUGAGACACCUGUCAUAAGUUCCAGAGAGUUGCCUUCCACGGAGCCCAGCAGAGGAGUGGGCGAACAUGAAGCCCAAUCCUGCUAUCCAAGCUGCCAUUGACCUCACAGCAGGGGCUGCAGGGGGCACAGCAUGUGUACUGACUGGGCAGCCCUUUGACACACUGAAAGUGAAGAUGCAGACAUUCCCCGACCUGUACAGGGGCCUCACCGACUGCUGCCUGAAGACAUACUCACAGGUGGGCUUCCGGGGCUUCUACAAGGGGACCAGCCCAGCGUUGAUUGCCAAUAUCGCCGAGAACUCUGUCCUCUUCAUGUGCUACGGCUUCUGCCAACAGGUGGUGCGGAAAGUGGUUGGAUUGGAAAAGCAGGCCAAGCUGAGUGAUCUGCAGAAUGCAGCUGCUGGUUCCUUUGCCUCUGCCUUUGCAGCUCUGGUACUCUGCCCCACUGAGCUUGUGAAGUGCCGGCUGCAGACCAUGCAUGAGAUGGCAUCGUCGGGAAAGAUAGCCAACAGCCAGAACACUGUCUGGUCUGUGGUGAAGACUGUCCUCAGGAAGGACGGCCCCUUGGGCUUCUACCAUGGCCUCUCCAGCACUCUUCUCCGAGAGGUGCCCGGCUAUUUCUUCUUCUUUGGAGGCUACGAGCUGAGCAGGUCGUUUUUUGCAUCAGGGAAAUCCAAGGAUGAACUAGGCCCUGUCCCUUUGAUGUUAAGUGGUGGAGUUGGUGGAGUCUGCCUCUGGCUUGCUGUUUACCCAGUGGAUUGCGUCAAAUCCAGAAUUCAGGUUCUUUCCAUGUCUGGAAAACAGGCAGGAUUUAUUGGAACCUUUAUAAGCAUUGUGAAAAAUGAAGGAAUAACAGCCUUAUAUUCUGGACUGAAGCCUACUAUGAUUCGAGCGUUCCCUGCCAACGGGGCACUGUUUUUGGCCUAUGAAUACAGCAGGAAGCUGAUGAUGAGCCAGUUUGAAGCCUACUGAAGUGUCCUAGUGAACUGAAUUCCAAGCAUAGGCAUUUGAGGACUACAGUUCAUCUCAGGGUUUCAUGGAGUACAAGACCAAUGUGGAAUUAGUUUGAUUUCAUAUGAGUUUUGAUUUUUUUUUUUUUUGGUCUUCCCUUAUUCUACCCUAAAUCUUAAACUUUAUGGAAGGGGCUCUAUUUUAUAUUCUAUAAUUUCUGUCUGUAAUUGUAUUGAAAUAGAAAAGUUGCUGCACUUGUCCUUGGUGGGACAUUGAGAGUGAGCUGCUGGCCCUAAUGAUAAUCUGAAAGGCUAAAUAUAGUUCUGUCAGGGCUUUGGCAUAAACCUGUAUGUUUCCAUGCAGUUUGGAUGGUUACACAUUGUUAGUAAAGCACAAUUUGGUUCCAUGUUUAAUCUCAGAUCUCACUAGUAAAGUCAGAGGUAAUCAUGUUUCAUGGAGAUGACUAUAAAUGAUUACUUAACUCAUUCUAGAUGUAGGGUCUCCUAAAAUGUGCUUAGUACACGUACUGCACUAAGAGGCUAAAGUUUUUUAGAAGUUUUUCUGUGGUGCUUGAAAACUAAAAUAUCCAUGUAGAUUUUGUAGAGGAGAACACACCUGUGUACCGGUAUGGCUUCCAUGUUAUGAUUUAAGUUGAGAGUAAGCACCUUGGAUUUUCCCAAGAUGUCCUACUGUUAAAAUAGUGCCAUUCGUUUUCUAGAUGGGAUCAUGUUCUACACCUGUUGCAUGUCAGGUGUGGCUAGAGCAGCACGACCUUCACCUGUGGCAGCUUCCCUUCUCUCCCAAAGAACUUCCCCUCUGCUGGGCUGCUUUAGGUUGAGGGGAAGGCUGGAGGGGAAGGGGCGAUACUACUAUGCUUUGUGAAGACCUCUGACUGGUGGUAGCCCUUAGUUUCUGGCUCUGGGUCCUGGUCUGAGUAGGAUUCCAGAGUAUUUCUUUGGACCGUCUCCGGGCUGUUGAUCCACUCUGGACCACUCACUGCCUCCACAAUCAGAAACCCUUCCAGGGAGCAGAGUGCCAAAGCUGAGAAGCCCUUGUUCCCUGUCUGGUGCCUGAAUGACAGCACUUGUGGGCAAAGUCCUCCUCUGAUGGAACUGGACAGAACAUAGUGCUUGUCCUCCACAGUGAGUGAUGUUGGGGCUGACCCUUAAGUUUAUCUUGUGAUCCAUAACGGCUUGCCGUGUUUCUUAUAGUGCUGGAGCCUUUUACAUUUGGUACUGGCAGUCCGUGGAUUUUCAUGAUGAUUGCAUACAGGGGGUGACUUCAUAAAGUAAUGAAAUAAGCAGUGAUUUUAUUAAGCUAUGGCAUAUGUAUGCACUAACAGCAACCACAAGAUCCCAGGUCACUUGGUGUAAGAGGAUCCUUCCUGUCACCAUUUAGGUAAGCCUCCUCAUUCCAUGCUGCUCCAAGACCAGCAGGGGCUCCCUCAGUAACAAGUGUUCUUAAGUAGCCUAUAAGGCUGAAAGCAAGCAGGCUGACACUGCUAAUGUCUGUCCCGUGUGUCUGUCAUUGUUGGCACAAUGUUAAGCCUUGAGUGAAAUCUCUGGUUCCCUUCAGCUUUUUGUUCUCUGCAGAGCCCCUGUGCUAACUCUAGCCAUGUGCCAAAAGCAGGACGGUCCGGGAAGUGAGCUGCUGAUGGUCCAGAGCAGUGGCUGGUCUGCCCUCUGCUUUUUCCUUGAAAGAAAACCAUUUUUCUACCUUUUCUUUCCAUUCUUAAAUAGCAGCUACUGAGUGGUGCUUCAUCUGGACAGGCCUGGACUGAAGCAAAAGAGAAAAUGGAGCUGGCUUCCAGCAGGAAGUGAAUUACUUCAGAAUCUGUGAGCCUCUGCCUGGUGCCUGUGAGCCCAUCUGAAGAAGCAGAGACACAGGCAGAGGGAGAAGCAGGCUCCAUGCACUGGGAGCCCGACGUGGGAUUCGAUCCCGGGUCUCCAGGAUCGCGCCCUGGGCCAAAGGCAGGUGCCAAGCCGCUGCGCCACCCAGGGAUCCCCCUUGAGGACUAUUUAGAAGGAAAAAGAGCAUCUGCAUCCAGGGCGUGUCCAUAAAUAAGGACAAUUAAGAUACAGUGAAGAUACUUAGAAUGUGCAGCCAGGACUAAGGAGUGUUUAUAAUGAGAAGUUGACCUUCCUUCUCAGAGUUCCCUAAAUGUAAGUGAAGUUGUGGUAAGGGAGGGGGUGGAUUUUAAAAUCAUCUAGAUUUUUCUAGGCAAACAUUUCCUUUGACUUCACUUGUCAUGUUAUGAAAAAGAUAAUCUUCAGUAACUUCUGCUUAUAUUUACCAAACUUGUCUUGCCUUCCCCAAAAACUGUAUAAUUAAAGGAAGCAUAUAGCCUAAGCACUGGUGGGACUGCUUGUGGGAACAGUUCUAGGGAUUUAAAACAAGUUUUGAUGCCAAUCUGAUGAUUUAUAAGCUAUUAACAAACAAGUAGAGGAAGAAAAUAGAAACAACUUUUCUUAGCUG
Molecule: RNA transcript, 3547 nt
Organism: Nyctereutes procyonoides (raccoon dog)
Lineage: Eukaryota; Metazoa; Chordata; Mammalia; Carnivora; Canidae
Gene: SLC25A15
Gene name: solute carrier family 25 member 15
Exons: 8
Source: RefSeq, a predicted model, not a curated record